ACUCGAGGACAUAUCAGAGGCUCAGUGGACAUUUUUAAACGACAGCUAAAGACACAUCUGUUUAAAUUAGCUUGUUAUUAACAACCCCCCACUUUAAAUGUUCUUUUAGUCUU
Molecule: long non-coding RNA, 113 nt
Organism: Notothenia coriiceps (black rockcod)
Lineage: Eukaryota; Metazoa; Chordata; Actinopteri; Perciformes; Nototheniidae
Exons: 3
Source: RefSeq, a predicted model, not a curated record